Molecule: ribosomal RNA, 241 nt
Filed under: uncultured bacterium
Lineage: Bacteria
Description: partial 16S ribosomal RNA
Rfam family: Bacterial small subunit ribosomal RNA
Source: RNAcentral
AGCGUUGUUCGGAAUUACUGGGCGUAAAGGGCUCGUAGGUGGCCAACUAAGUCAGACGUGAAAUCCCUCGGCUUAACCGGGGAACUGCGUCUGAUACUGGAUGGCUUGAGUUUGGGAGAGGGACGCGGAAUUCCAGGUGUAGCGGUGAAAUGCGUAGAUAUCUGGAGGAACACCGGUGGCGAAGGCGGCGUCCUGGACCAACACUGACACUGAGUGAGCGAAAGCCAGGGGAGCAAACGGG